Long non-coding RNA from Cynoglossus semilaevis (tongue sole), 565 nucleotides. RefSeq lists it as uncharacterized. The transcript is spliced from 4 exons. The record is from RefSeq and is a predicted model, not a curated record. NCBI's taxonomy places the organism in Eukaryota, Metazoa, Chordata, Actinopteri, Pleuronectiformes, Cynoglossidae.
UUUGUUAUUGUGAGCUACACUACUGUGAUCCCUCAGAAGGACUGAGUGUUGAAGACAUGGAAGAAAGCAGUUGAUGAUUCAGGUGGAAGUACUGAAAAAAGACCCAGAUCACAAGCAGAUAGAUGAGUUAAUGUCUGCCACGUUUUCCAAGCGCAGAAAGGAGAUUGUGGGGAUCAACCUCUCAUCGGGGAUGUUAUGGCAAAAUGGCCGGCCAUGUUCUGUAACAAUAGACAACACUGAGUCUGAGAUUAAUCACUUAAUCCAAUUUUGUUCGAAUGGAUAUCACUAUUUUGAGUCUUUUGUUCAUUAUUUCCAAAGAGAGCAUGGCUGAUGCUGUUUUUGGUGGUGCACUGAAGGCCAUUUUGGAAUUGGAUCUUUUUGUCUGAAGAAAGAGGACACAAACGAAAGGAUAAGGACUGCGGCUCUGCUGGGUCUGCCACACUAUUUUUCAGAAAAGCCCUCAAACAUCAUCAGGAUGUGUGACGGCAUGCAGCUUGACAGAACUUCACGGAGCCACGGCAACCAUUGUUUAGACAUCCCUUAGAGACUUUAGCAUACCUGUGCA